CCUACGGGAGGCAGCAGUGAGGAAUAUUGGUCAAUGGGCGAGAGCCUGAACCAGCCAAGUCGCGUGAGGGAAGACGGUCCUAUGGGUUGUAAACCUCUUUUGUCGGGGCGCAAUAGACUCCACGCGUAGAGUUCCGAGAGUACCCGACGAACAAGCAUCGGCUAACUCCGUGCCAGCAGCCGCGGUAAUACGGAGGAUGCGAGCGUUAUCCGGAUUUAUUGGGUUUAAAGGGUGCGCAGGCGGAAGACCAAGUCAGCGGUAAAAUUGAGAGGCUCAACCUCUUCGAGCCGUUGAAACUGGGUUUGUUGAGCGAGCGAGAAGUAUGCGGAAUGCGGGGGGUAGCGGGGAACUGCAUAGAUAUCACGCAGAACUCCGAGUGCGAAGGCAGCAUACCGGCGCUCAACUGACGCUCAUGCACGAAAGUGUGGGUAGCGAACAGGAUGAGAGACCCUGGUAGUC
RNAcentral lists this ribosomal RNA (459 nucleotides) under uncultured bacterium. Its description in RNAcentral is "partial 16S ribosomal RNA". It matches the Rfam family "Bacterial small subunit ribosomal RNA", at positions 338 to 795 of the family's 1533-position model. The record is from RNAcentral.